UACGAAGGGAGCUAGCGUUGUUCGGAAUGACUGGGCGUAAAGGGUGUGUAGGCGGUCGUACACGUCAGAUGUGAAAUCCCCGGGCUUAACCUGGGAAUGGCAUUUGAUACGGUAUGGCUAGAGAUUGGUAGAGGGUAGUGGAAUUGCGAGUGUAGAGGUGAAAUUCGUAGAGAUUCGCAGGAACACCGGUGGCGAAGGCGGCUACCUGGGCCAAUACUGACGCUGAGGCACGAAAGCGUGGGGAGCAAACAGG
This 253-nucleotide ribosomal RNA is filed under the name uncultured bacterium. Its description in RNAcentral is "partial 16S ribosomal RNA". It matches the Rfam family "Bacterial small subunit ribosomal RNA", at positions 524 to 776 of the family's 1533-position model. The record is from RNAcentral.